This 465-nucleotide ribosomal RNA is filed under the name uncultured bacterium. RNAcentral's name for it is "partial 16S ribosomal RNA". It matches the Rfam family "Bacterial small subunit ribosomal RNA", at positions 28 to 507 of the family's 1533-position model. The record is from RNAcentral.
GAUGAACGCUGGCGGCGUGCUUAACACAUGCAAGUCAAACGGAAAGGCUCCUGCUUGCAGGGGUACUCGAGUGGCGAACGGGUGAGUAACACGUGGGUGAUCUGCCCUGCACUUCGGGAUAAGCCUGGGAAACUGGGUCUAAUACCGGAUAGGACGAUGGUUUGGAUGCCAUUGUGGAAAGUUUUUCGGUGUGGGAUGAGCUCGCGGCCUAUCAGCUUGUUGGUGGGGUAAUGGCCUACCAAGGCGUCGACGGGUAGCCGGCCUGAGAGGGUGUACGGCCACAUUGGGACUGAGAUACGGCCCAGACUCCUACGGGAGGCAGCAGUGGGGAAUAUUGCACAAUGGGCGCAAGCCUGAUGCAGCGACGCCGCGUGGGGGAUGACGGCCUUCGGGUUGUAAACUCCUUUCGCUAGGGACGAAGCGCAAGUGACGGUACCUGGAGAAGAAGCACCGGCUAACUACGUG